This 253-nucleotide ribosomal RNA is filed under the name uncultured bacterium. RNAcentral describes it as "partial 16S ribosomal RNA". It matches the Rfam family "Bacterial small subunit ribosomal RNA", at positions 524 to 776 of the family's 1533-position model. The record is from RNAcentral.
UACAGAGGUCUCAAGCGUUGUUCGGAUUCAUUGGGCGUAAAGGGUGCGUAGGCGGCGCGGUAAGUCGGGUGUGAAAUCUCGGGGCUUAACUCCGAAACUGCAUUCGAUACUGCCGUGCUUGAGGACUGGGGAGGAGACUGGAAUUUACGGUGUAGCGGUGAAAUGCGUAGAUAUCGUAAGGAAGACCAGUGGCGAAGGCGGGUCUCUGGACAGUUCCUGACGCUGAGGCAUGAAGGUCAGGGGAGCAAACGGG